GCCCCCUCUAGCCCACGCAAGCCAAACAACCGACCAAACAAAAAUUUACUUCACUACAAAACCAAAACAUUCCUCUCCAACCAAGUAUAGGUGAUAGAAAAGUUACCUGGCGCUAUAGAGACACGUACCGCAAGGGAAAGAUGAAAUAACAAUGAAAACCAAAGCAACGAACAGCAAAGCCAAACCCUUGUACCUUUUGCAUCAUGAUCUAGCAAGACACACCAAGCAAAGCGGACUGAAGUUUGCCCCCCCGAAACCCAAGCGAGCUACUCACAAGCAGCUACCCCUGAGCACACCCGUCUCUGUUGCAAAAGAGUGGGACGACUUGUUAGUAGAGGUGAAAAGCCAACCGAGCUGGGUGAUAGCUGGUUGCCUGUGAAAUGAAUCUCAGUUCCCCCUUGACUGCCCCACGGACAUUCCCCCUUCCAACCUCCCACGUAAGCAAGUCAAGAGCUACCUAAAGGGGGUACAGCCCCUUUAAACAAGGACACAACCUAACCCAGCGGAUAACACACCCAACUUAUAACUGUAGGCCCUCAAGCAGCCACCAACAAAGAAUGCGUCAAAGCUCUCCCCAAAAAAUAUAAAAACACAAACGAUUCCCUCUUCGCUAACAGGCCAAUCUACACCAGUAGAAGAACUAAUGCUAGAAUGAGUAACUAGGACCCAAUCCUCUCAAGCGCAAACUUACAUCUAACUAUUAUUAACAGACCCCAGAAUACCCUAACCCAACAAGAUACAGCCAUUCAUCCCAGACUGUUAACCCAACCCAGGAGCGCCCAUAGAAAGAUUCAAACCUGUAGAAGGAACUAGGCAAACCAAAGACCCGACUGUUUACCAAAAACAUAGCCUUCAGCAACCCAAGUAUUGAAGGUGAUGCCUGCCCAGUGACAACACGUUCAACGGCCGCGGUAUCCUAACCGUGCAAAGGUAGCGCAAUCAAUUGUCUCAUAAAUCGAGACUUGUAUGAACGGCUAAACGAGGCCUUAACUGUCUCCUACAGGCAAUCAGUGAAAUUGAUCUCCCUGUACAAAAGCAGGAAUACGCACAUAAGACGAGAAGACCCUGUGGAACUUAAAAAUCAAAAGCCACCCCGCACGAACACCAAUCCUUCAAGGACCAAUCUCCAACAACAAAAGCUAUGGCCUACAUUUUUCGGUUGGGGCGACCUUGGAGAAAAACAAAUCCUCCAAAGAUAAGACCAUCCCUCCUAACCAAGAGACACAUCUCAACGUACUAACAGCAACCUGACCCAGUAUAACUGAUCAAUGGACCAAGCUACCCCAGGGAUAACAGCGCAAUCUCCUUCAAGAGCCCAUAUCGACAAGGAGGUUUACGACCUCGAUGUUGGAUCAGGACAUCCUAAUGGUGCAACCGCUAUUAAGGGUUCGUUUGUUCAACGAUUAACAGUCCUACGUGAUCUGAGUUCAGACCGGAGCAAUCCAGGUCGGUUUCUAUCUAUGACACAAUCUUUCCCAGUACGAAAGGACCGGCAAGAUGGAGCCAAUACUCACAGCAUGCUCCCCCUCUAAGUAAAGAACUCAACUAAAUUACCAAAAGGACUCCCCCUGUCUAUUUUUUCCCCCCC
This 1588-nucleotide ribosomal RNA is filed under the name Bucco macrodactylus. RNAcentral describes it as "16S ribosomal RNA". It matches the Rfam family "Bacterial large subunit ribosomal RNA", at positions 361 to 2925 of the family's 2925-position model. Lineage: Eukaryota; Metazoa; Chordata; Aves; Piciformes; Bucconidae. The record is from RNAcentral.